AACUGUGUGAAUUAAUGUGAAUCGCAGAC
This 29-nucleotide ribosomal RNA is filed under the name Rauschoides alternata. RNAcentral describes it as "partial 5.8S ribosomal RNA". Lineage: Eukaryota; Metazoa; Platyhelminthes; Cestoda; Cyclophyllidea; Anoplocephalidae. The record is from RNAcentral.